GGUGUACUCCCUCCGUUCCAUAAUUCUUGUCUCAAAUUUGACAAAAAAUGGCUGUAUCUAUUCCUAAAAAGUGUCUAGAUACAUGUAAUAUUUCGACAAGAAUUAUGAAAUGGAGGGAGUAAGUU
This is a non-coding RNA of Brachypodium distachyon (stiff brome), 125 nucleotides long. Lineage: Eukaryota; Viridiplantae; Streptophyta; Magnoliopsida; Poales; Poaceae. The record is from Rfam.